Pogoniulus pusillus (Red-fronted tinkerbird) is the source of this 790-nucleotide long non-coding RNA. RefSeq lists it as uncharacterized. The record is from RefSeq and is a predicted model, not a curated record. Lineage: Eukaryota; Metazoa; Chordata; Aves; Piciformes; Lybiidae. The transcript has 3 exons.
GUGCUGGGGAGAAGCUGAGUGGGAGCAGAUGGUGUGAGCUUGCAGGCCAGAAGAAGUGUGUCAGAGGUCUGUAGGUGUCUGCAGCGGUGUGCAAGCAUCUGUAGAAGUCUGCCCAGAGAUCUUAUUUGCUUUACCCAAAAUCAAGUUGGAGAGAUGUGUGGAGCCUCAGCCACAGACCCUGACUGUUGGGGGGAUGCUUUCAUGGCAGAAAGCGGAGCUGUUUGAAACCCAGUUCCUCCUUGCAAGUGGUUAAGAAUUGGAUUCCCUUUGGAAAAUGGGGACAGAGACAUCUCUCUGAGAAUGAAGAUUAUGGAGGGAAAAGUGAGGUGACUUCAGAGCAGAGAAGUGAUGUUGCAGAGGAAAAAGUUGAACAGGUCUAUUGGGAAUAAAACAAACUCUGGAGGAAAAAUCUGAGGUAAACAAGAGGACACAGGUGACAUUUUCUAUUCAAAAAAGUGAACAAGUCUCUAGGGGAUAAAAAUGAAGAUUGUAGGAGGAAAAAGCUGAGGUGAUUAGGUGGGACAGAGCCGACAUUGUGAAUGGAAAAAGUAAUGCAAUCCAUAGGGGAGAAAAGGAGCAUUUUUGAAGGAAACCAGGCCCUAUGCCUCUGAAACCCUGGGGCCAGACAUACCCACAGUGAUUACAGGGCAGUUCCCUCCUUGAACCUCCUGCCAGGUGAUGCAACACAGAGCCCUACUUACAGGGUGGCUGCUCUCACAUCAGCACUCCCAAAAACAACUACAAAGCACCAGCCCCUAGGCUCCUGUACUCAGGGGUUGUCGCAGCUUUU